GAUGAAGAACGUAGUGAAAUGCGAUAAGUAAUGUGAAUUGCAGAAUUCAGUGAAUCAUCGAAUCUUUGAACGCGCAUUGCGACCGCCAGUAUUCUGGCGGGCAUGCCUGUCUGAGCGUCAUUUCAACCCUCAUGCCCCUAGGGCGUGGUGUUGGGGAUCGGCCAAAGCCCGCGAGGGACGGCCGGCCCCUAAAUCUAGUGGCGGACCCGUCGUGGCCUCCUCUGCGAAGUAGUGAUAUUCCGUAUCGGAGAGCGAUGAGCCCCUGCCGUUAAACCCCCAACUUUCCAAGGUUGACCUCAGAUCAGGUAGGAAUACCCGCUGAACUUAAGCAUAUCAAUAAGCGGAGGA
Molecule: unclassified non-coding RNA, 348 nt
Filed under: soil metagenome
Description: partial contains 5.8S ribosomal RNA, internal transcribed spacer 2, and large subunit ribosomal RNA
Rfam family: 5.8S ribosomal RNA (bases 1-120)
Source: RNAcentral